This 114-nucleotide small nuclear RNA is filed under the name Amphiprion ocellaris (clown anemonefish). Lineage: Eukaryota; Metazoa; Chordata; Actinopteri; Pomacentridae. The record is from RNAcentral.
GUGCUUGCUCAGGCAGCACAUAUAAUAGAAUUGGAAUCGAUACAGAGAGGAAGAUUAGCAUGGCCCUCUUGAAAGAGUGACAUGCAAAUUAAAUUGAAAGCGGUUCUCAUUUUA